ACGAAGGGUGCUAGCGUUGUUCGGAAUUACUGGGCGUAUAGGGCGCGUAGGCGGCACAUCAAGACAGGGGUGAAAUCCCGGGGCUCAACCUCGGAAUUGCCUUUGUGACUGAUGAGCUUGAGUAUGAAAGAGGAUGACGGAAUACCCAGUGUAGAGGUGAAAUUCGUAGAUAUUGGGUAGAACACCGGUGGCGAAGGCGAUCAUCUGGUUCAUAACUGACGCUGAGGUGCGAAAGCGUGGGGAGCAAACAG
This 251-nucleotide ribosomal RNA is filed under the name uncultured prokaryote. RNAcentral describes it as "partial 16S rRNA". It matches the Rfam family "Bacterial small subunit ribosomal RNA", at positions 525 to 775 of the family's 1533-position model. The record is from RNAcentral.